AUGGAGGUCUCCAAGGCCCCUUCCUCUUCUGGUUUGGCAACCCGCCAGCCCUCCAAAGAGAUUCUUAAGACAUGGCACAAUGCCAAUGCGGUGUGCUUCGAUGUGGAUAGCACUGUAUGCUUGGAUGAGGGUAUUGACGAGCUUGCUGAUUUCUGUGGGGCUGGGCAGGCAGUUGCCGAGUGGACGACAAAGCAAUUGUCAUAG
RNAcentral lists this ribosomal RNA (204 nucleotides) under Triticum aestivum (bread wheat). RNAcentral describes it as "partial small subunit ribosomal RNA". The record is from RNAcentral. Lineage: Eukaryota; Viridiplantae; Streptophyta; Magnoliopsida; Poales; Poaceae.